GGAUCGGUAGCCUAGUGGAUUUUUCAAGUUAUAUCAACCAUAAAAGGCACUGGCCUUCGGAGCCAGCGAUCGCAGGUUCGAAUCCUGCCCGAUCCGCCA
This 99-nucleotide transfer RNA is filed under the name Promethearchaeota archaeon. RNAcentral describes it as "Candidatus Lokiarchaeota archaeon (microbial mat metagenome) tRNA-Arg". It matches the Rfam family "tRNA". From Rfam's summary of the family: Transfer RNA (tRNA) molecules are approximately 80 nucleotides in length. Their secondary structure includes four short double-helical elements and three loops (D, anti-codon, and T loops). Further hydrogen bonds mediate the characteristic L-shaped molecular structure. tRNAs have two regions of fundamental functional importance: the anti-codon, which is responsible for specific mRNA codon recognition, and the 3' end, to which the tRNAs corresponding amino acid is attached (by aminoacyl-tRNA synthetases). tRNAs cope with the degeneracy of the genetic code in two manners: having more than one tRNA (with a specific anti-codon) for a particular amino acid; and 'wobble' base-pairing, i.e. permitting non-standard base-pairing at the 3rd anti-codon position. Lineage: Archaea; Promethearchaeati; Promethearchaeota. The record is from RNAcentral.